UCAUCAAAUUGAAAAGUACUCUCUUCUUUUUUCUCUUUUAAUGAUGGUAUUUCCAUCUUUGUCUGUUGGCUUUUCUCAGUUCCCGCAUUCCCAGAGUUCCAAGAGGAUGAAAAGAAGCCGUUGGUAAUCUUGUUUGAAAUUUGCAGUGAGUUUAGUCAUCUGUUCCCUGGGGCCCUGCUCUAUCAGGGUCAGGCUAAGAAAGAAGCUGCUUUGCUAUCAGACUCUUUUUAAGUCUUUUCAUUACCAAUUCACCAGUACGGCACAUAAUGAGCUCUCGCAGCAGCAGAUAGGGAGUUCAUGUCUCAGCCAAGUAGCCGGACUUGUAGCUGCCACAUCGUGGACCAUUACCUAUAAUUACUUCAUGGGCACUCCACAAAGAUAAUUUCCUUUGUAGGAUUAAAAAGAAAAAAAGGCAGGUCUUGAGGAAGAUUUUGUAGAAAGAGCCCAGGGCAAAGCCAGAUGAGCUGGCGUUGGUAUCUAAGUGGAGGUGUGUCUUCUUUCUGGGACAAAACCAUUUGGCUUCUGGCUUCUCCAUGAAGCCACCAUCAGGGAAGCAACUGAUAGUGACUGACAACUGGCUGGAAGCAUAAUCACGAGGCCCUAAACUCAGGGCUCCUUACUCUUUGCCAGUGUUUCUAUGCAAAUUCUCUAUCCACGAGCUUCUAUUUCAGUCCUAACAUUCCUCAGAACUUGCGUAUGAAUCAGCGAGGUGCCAGAUGCCUCAUACAAAUUCAGGGGAAAGAAAAGAACAUAGGCUCCUCCACGGAGGAGGAAAACUCAAUGAAGUCCAAAGAAAGUUCUCGCUUGAGGAAGAGGGCUCGUUUUGGAACAUUUGCCAGCGCAGCACCACGAGGUGAACAAUCCCAUUUUUGCCAACAUCUGCCUUCUGACGAAGCCCACCAGAAACACACCUGCAGGCAAGGAAAUUCAGGAUUAUUAACUUUCUGCACCAGAGGUGAUGGGACAGCAUGGGGACCGUGGAGCAUCUCCUUGUGGAUAACUCGGCGUCAGAGAAAUACAGAUCAAAACCAAAAUCUACCUCACAGCAGGUAGAACGGUUAAAAUUAACAAGUCAGGAAACAAUAGGUGUUGGUGAGGAUGCAGAGAAGGGUGUGCCCUUGUUCACUGUUGGUGGGAAUGCAAACUGGUGCAGCUACUCUGGAAAACAGUGUGGAGGUUCCUCGCGAAGUUAAAAAUAGAGCUACUACUAGGGAUUUAUCACAAACAUGGUGAUUAGAAGGAGCAUCUGCACCCCAAUGUUCACAGCAGCAAUGUCCACAAUAACCAAACUGUGGGAGGAGCCCAGAUGUCCAUCAACGGAUGAAUGGAUAAAGAUGUAGUAUAUAAAUAGACAAUGGAAUAUUACUCAGCCAUCAAAAAGAAUGAAAUCUUACCAUUUGUAAUGACACGGAUGGUAUUGCAAUGACUAGAUGGUAUUAUGCUAAGUGAAAUAAGUCAGUCAGAGAAAGACAAAUACUAUAUGAUUUCAUUCCUAUGUGGAAUUUAAGAAACAAAACACAUGAACAUAGGAGGAGAGAAGGAAAAAUAAAAUAAGACAAGAGAGGGGGGCA
This 1571-nucleotide long non-coding RNA is filed under the name Vulpes vulpes (red fox). Its description in RNAcentral is "lncRNA (ENSVVUG00000001321.1)". Lineage: Eukaryota; Metazoa; Chordata; Mammalia; Carnivora; Canidae. The record is from RNAcentral.